GUGGGGAAUAUUGGGCAAUGGGCGAAAGCCUGACCCAGCAACGCCGCGUGAAGGAAGAAGGUUUUCGGAUCGUAAACUUCUAUCCUUGGUGAAGAUAAUGACGGUAGCCAAGAAGGAAGCCCCGGCUAACUACGUGCCAGCAGCCGCGGUACUACGUAGGGGGCAAGCGUUGUCCGGAAUGAUUGGGCGUAAAGGGCGCGUAGGCGGCCCGGUAAGUCUGAAGGGAAAGUCCUGCUUUUAAGGUGGGAAUUGCUUUGGAUACUGUCGGGCUUGAGUGCAGGAGAGGUAAGCGGAAGUCCCGGUGGAGCGGUGAAAUGCGUAGAGAUCGGGAGGAACACCAGUGGCGAAGGCGGCUUACUGGACUGUAACUGACGCUGAGGCGCGAAAGUGUGGGGAGCAAACAGGAUUAGAUACCCGUGUAGUCC
This 425-nucleotide ribosomal RNA is filed under the name uncultured bacterium. RNAcentral describes it as "partial 16S ribosomal RNA". It matches the Rfam family "Bacterial small subunit ribosomal RNA", at positions 354 to 796 of the family's 1533-position model. The record is from RNAcentral.